Molecule: ribosomal RNA, 253 nt
Filed under: uncultured bacterium
Lineage: Bacteria
Also listed under: 1 other name
Description: partial 16S ribosomal RNA
Rfam family: Bacterial small subunit ribosomal RNA
Source: RNAcentral
UACGUAGGGUGCGAGCGUUAAUCGGAAUUACUGGGCGUAAAGCGAGCGCAGACGGUUAUUUAAGCAAGAUGUGAAAGCCCCGGGCUCAACCUGGGAACUGCGUUUUGAACUGGGUAACUAGAGUGUGUCAGAGGGGGGUAGAAUUCCACGUGUAGCAGUGAAAUGCGUAGAGAUGUGGAGGAAUACCGAUGGCGAAGGCAGCCCCCUGGGAUAACACUGACGUUCAUGCUCGAAAGCGUGGGUAGCAAACAGG